This 254-nucleotide ribosomal RNA is filed under the name uncultured bacterium. Its description in RNAcentral is "partial 16S ribosomal RNA". It matches the Rfam family "Bacterial small subunit ribosomal RNA", at positions 524 to 776 of the family's 1533-position model. The record is from RNAcentral.
CACGUAGGGGGCGAGCGUUGUCCGGAUUUAUUGGGCGUAAAGAGCUCGUAGGCGGCUCAGUAAGUCAGGUGUGAAAACUCCAGGCUCAACCUGGAGACGCCACCUGAUACUGCUGUGGCUAGAGUCCGGUAGGGGAGCAUGGAAUUCCUGGUGUAGCGGUGAAAUGCGCAGAUAUCAGGAGGAACACCAGUGGCGAAGGCGGUGCUCUGGGCAGUAACUGACGCUGAGGAGCGAAAGCGUGGGGAGCGAACAGG